UUCUAGGACUUGAAUGUCACCAGAGGAAUAAAAAAUGAGGGUAAAAAAGGUAGACUAUAAUUCUGAAAGCAAUAGGGGAAGAAAAUUUUUUUAGUUUCACCAUAUUAAGUACAUUGCUUCCUUUGCUUAGGCCGUGGCAUUUUUUAUUUUUUCCUUUUGUUUGUUCACCACCAUUAGAUAAGAACCAAAAUUUUAACUAUUGGCAUUAAAAGCAAGAAGAAAAUACUUGAAUUCUGUUUGGUGAUGGUUUAAUUGAUUCUAUGCCUGUCCUUUAAGGGCACACUGGAAUGGCAGGUAAGUCUGGCCUGUUAAAUGCUGAUGCGGUGUCAGGGGAAUCUUGAUCCAAUUUUUCACUAGAACAUAGUCUGACAUUCUACUCCACUCGCCACUGUCAAUGUCAGAGGAAGUGUCAUUAUUUGAACAAUAGCAUCUUCCAGAAGAAAAGACACCAUGUUUACUUUUAAGAAUGUCAGCCAUUGUACAUUUAGAAGCAUUUUCUGGGGUUAGCAGAAACAUAUUUGACUGGACUAAAAGCAAAACUCCUCUUCCAUGCUGAGUAUCACAGAUGCAAGACUAGAAGGACUUUUAAGAGGCUAACCAGCCUCAUCUCCUGCCUUCAGAAUACAGCCUGGAAAGCUUGAAUUCUAGAUUCCUCAGUCUGUUUCAGUUAGGAGAGACCACAUGACAGAGCUCUGUAUAAGGAG
Molecule: long non-coding RNA, 704 nt
Filed under: Homo sapiens (human)
Lineage: Eukaryota; Metazoa; Chordata; Mammalia; Primates; Hominidae
Description: HSALNT0127629
Source: RNAcentral